Molecule: ribosomal RNA, 554 nt
Filed under: Rhodotorula diobovata
Lineage: Eukaryota; Fungi; Basidiomycota; Microbotryomycetes; Sporidiobolales; Sporidiobolaceae
Description: eukaryotic LSU rRNA
Rfam family: Eukaryotic large subunit ribosomal RNA
Source: RNAcentral
CGAGCGAAGCGGGAAGAGCUCAAAUUUAUAAUCUGGCACCUUCGGUGUCCGAGUUGUAAUCUCUAGAAGUGUUUUCCGCGUUGGACCGCACACAAGUCUGUUGGAAUACAGCGGCAUAGUGGUGAAACCCCCGUAUAUGGUGCGGACGCCCAGCGCUUUGUGAUACACUUUCAAUGAGUCGAGUUGUUUGGGAAUGCAGCUCAAAUUGGGUGGUAAAUUCCAUCUAAAGCUAAAUAUUGGCGAGAGACCGAUAGCGAACAAGUACCGUGAGGGAAAGAUGAAAAGCACUUUGGAAAGAGAGUUAACAGUACGUGAAAUUGUUGGAAGGGAAACGCUUGAAGUCAGACUUGCUUGCCGGAGCUUGCUUCGGUUUGCAGGCCAGCAUCAGUUUUCCGGGGUGGAUAAUGACGGUUUGAAGGUAGCAGUCUCGGCUGUGUUAUAGCUUUCCGUUGGAUACGCCCUGGGGGACUGAGGAACGCAGCGUGCUUUUUGCGAAAGACUCGUCUUUUUCACGCUUAGGAUGCUGGUGGAAUGGCUUUAAACGACCCGUCUUG